GACGAACGCUGGCGGCGUGGAUUAGGCAUGCAAGUCGAACGGUAGGGACCUUUCGGGGUUCUGAGAGUGGCGAACGGGUGAGUAACACGUAGGUUAUCUACCCUCAAAUUGGGGACAACCCAGGGAAACUUGGGCUAAUACCGAAUGAGUGCAGUUUUAGGAUUGCAUAAAAGAUGGCGUAAGCUGUUGUUUGAGGAUGAGCCUGCGCUCUAUUAGUUAGUUGGUGAGGUAACGGCUCACCAAGGCGAUGAUAGAUAGGCGGCCUUAACGGGUGGUCGCCCACACUGGGAUUGAGAUACGGCCCAGACUCCUACGGGAGGCAGCAGUCGAGAAUAGUCUACAAUGGACGAAAGUCUGAUAGUGCGACGCCGCGUGAACGAUGAAUCCCUUCGGGGUGUAAAGUUCUUUUAUAUGUGAGCAAUGCCUUAUAUGUGAAUAGCAUGUAGGGAGAGAUAUUAGCAUAUGAAUAAGCAACGGCUAACUCCGUG
Molecule: ribosomal RNA, 488 nt
Filed under: uncultured organism
Description: bacterial SSU rRNA
Rfam family: Bacterial small subunit ribosomal RNA
Source: RNAcentral